AUGCAUCCCACUGCAGCAUCGGUAAGAGAAGGGUUGGCCACUCCCACAGCCCAUCUUGUGUUCCUGCAACCCACCAGACCCCUGCAUCCAGCCACCCUAUACCCCAUCCCUCCUCCACUCUGCUUCUGCACCCGAGUGCUCUUGCACCAUGCAUCUCCCAUGCCUCACCCCACUCCUGCUGUUCUCCAUCCCCAGUCCGCCCAGCUCCUCCUGAUGAAGUUGUGCUGGGAUGUCCCCUGCUGGCUGCGGGGCUGCCUGCUCCCUGCUGCUCCCUGCUGCAGCUUGCCUGCUCCUUACUGCUCCCUGCCUGCACUCUGCCUGCUCCCUGCUGCUCCGUCCUGCACCCUGUCUGCGUCCUGCUGUUCCCUGCAGCUCCCGGUCUGUACCCUCGUGCUCGCUGCUGCACCCUGCCUGCUGCCUGCCUCCACCGUGCUGCUCCCUGCAGACACCCUACUGCUCCUUGUCUGCACCCUGCCUGCCCACUGCUGUUCUCUACUGCUCCCUGCAUGCACCUUGCCUACUCCUUGCUGUUGCCUGCUGCUCCUUCCCUGCAUUUUGCCUGCCCCCUGCUGCUCCCUGCCUUCUUCCUGCUGCUCCUUGUCUGCCCCCUGCUGUUCCCUGCACUAUUGCCUGCUCUCUCCCUGCUCCUUCCUGCCUCUCUCCUGCUGCACCCUGUUACUCCCUCCUGCACCCCGCGUGCUUCCUGCUGCUCCAUGCUGCUCCUUACUGCUCCUUGCCUGCACCCUGCUUAACCCAGCCUUCAUCCCACUGCUCCCUGCUGCACCCUGGUGUUCCUUGCCUGCAACCUGCUGCUCCCUGCUGCACUUGGUCUGUACCCAGCUGCACCCUGCUGCACUUUGUCUGUACCCAGCUGCACCCUGCUGCUCCCUGCCUCCAGCCUUUUGCUUCCUGCUGCGCCCUGCUGCACCCUGCAGCAUCCUUCUGCUCUCUGCAGCUCCCCGCUGCUCCCUGUUGCUCCCUGCUGCAUUCUGCUGCUCCCUGCUGCACCCAGCUGCUCCCUACUGCUCUGUGUGCACCUAG
This 1041-nucleotide long non-coding RNA is filed under the name Numida meleagris (helmeted guineafowl). RNAcentral describes it as "lncRNA (ENSNMEG00000015179.1)". Lineage: Eukaryota; Metazoa; Chordata; Aves; Galliformes; Numididae. The record is from RNAcentral.